This 623-nucleotide long non-coding RNA is filed under the name Olea europaea subsp. europaea. The record is from RNAcentral. Lineage: Eukaryota; Viridiplantae; Streptophyta; Magnoliopsida; Lamiales; Oleaceae.
UCUAAUAAUUACCUUGCUUUAUAUAGAAGAUUAAGAUUAAUUUGAUCCAAUCUCAUUCCCAGCCCAGGAACUUUAUUGUUGAUCUUCAAAUAAAUAGCUUCGUCAGGCUGAACACGUAUAACAAGCUCAUUUGUAGCUCUGUCAAGAUCAGUCCCAAAGUUCCUAUUGUAUAAAUUGCCAGGAACGUGUCUAAACUGCACUCUUAUCUCAGCCCUGAGAAUGGUAACAGGCAAAGUUUAAGGACAAAAUUGACGAAUUGGAAUUGCAUUUUGGUUGUUCCUAAAAGUUACUCUUCCAUAUAGUUUUAUUAGUAAAAAUGUAUUUGACAAUCAUAUUUCGCAAAAUAAGUAAGUUAAAAGUAAGAUUGACUUGGGGGUCCAUUUAGGAUAGUUUUUGCUUUUAUUUUUUUAGAAGAGCUUAGUGAGAAAAUCCCAUCUGACUAGCUUUCUCUAAAAACACUUCUAACUCGACAAAUAACUUUAGAAAUUAUUCAAACAAACCCAGAGCAACUUCUUAGUCUCAACGGUAGCCUUAGACUUUUCAAAAGCCCCAGCAAUGGUCCCUUACUUUUAAGCACAACCAAACAUGAUCGAACACAGCUGAAGGAAGUGAGUGGCAAUUGU